UAUACUUUAGUGUAAGUUGCACUUAAAAUUUUGAAUUUUAAAGAUUAGUUAAAUUUCGAAAUAGUAUAA
RNAcentral lists this transfer RNA (69 nucleotides) under Ammianus toi. RNAcentral describes it as "tRNA-Gln". The record is from RNAcentral. Lineage: Eukaryota; Metazoa; Arthropoda; Insecta; Hemiptera; Tingidae.